RNAcentral lists this long non-coding RNA (458 nucleotides) under Eucalyptus grandis. Its description in RNAcentral is "long non-coding RNA (EGRA_LNC000483)". The record is from RNAcentral. Lineage: Eukaryota; Viridiplantae; Streptophyta; Magnoliopsida; Myrtales; Myrtaceae.
UCACGUCGCUGCCGGACAAGUGUGAACCAUUCGUAAGAAACAAGAGAGACAGAGAAGGUCAGCCCGACCCCGGGUUAUGGAAGAAGGAGAGCAAGGAACCGAGAAGGUAUCCGCAACAACGGAUUUUAUUGUGGGACAGCUCAUGAUCAGCUCGGGAGCAAAGGGCUGAGGAGCUCGAUUGCGGUGGUUGUGGCGCGGUGGUGACGAUCAUUACGAUGGUGGUGGUGCCAGCGAUUCCAGUGGGGUGUCGGCGCAAUCCGGGGCCGACAAAGGAGGAGGGAGAGAGAAAGGUGGACUAGGUUUGGUUUCAUAUGAUGAGAUCGUGUGCGUUGGGUCAGAAGCACGUAUUAGUGACCAAACACUGAAUAAAUGAUUGAAUAGUGGCCGGGUAAGUGGCAUAAUUUGUCUGUUUAUCUUUUCAUCGUAAGACAAAUUUCAAUGGACAAGAUUAUUUGAAA